CCUACGGGUGGCAGCAGUGAGGAAUAUUGGUCAAUGGGCGAGAGUCUGAACCAGCCAAGUAGCGUGAGGGAAGACGGCCCUAUGGAUUGUAAACUUCUUUUGUAUGGGAGUAAAAUGUGGUACGUGUAGGGUUUUGUGUGUACCCUGUGAAUAAGGAUCGGCUAACUCCGUGCCAGCAGCCGCGGUAAUACGGAGGAUCCGAGCGUUAUCCGGAUUUAUUGGGUUUAAAGGGAGCGUAGGUGGAUUGUUAAGUCAGGUGUGAAAGUUUGCGGCUCAACCGUAAAAUUGCCGUUGAAACUGGCAGGCUGGAGUACAGUAGAGGUAGGCGGAAUUCGUGGUGUAGCGGUGAAAUGCUUAGAUAUCACGAAGAACUCCGAUUGCGAAGGCAGUUCACUGGACUGCAACUGACACUGAGGCUCGAAAGUGUGGGUAUCAAACAGGAUUAGAUACCCGGGUAGUC
Molecule: ribosomal RNA, 460 nt
Filed under: uncultured bacterium
Lineage: Bacteria
Description: partial 16S ribosomal RNA
Rfam family: Bacterial small subunit ribosomal RNA
Source: RNAcentral